RNAcentral lists this long non-coding RNA (418 nucleotides) under Zonotrichia albicollis (white-throated sparrow). RNAcentral's name for it is "lncRNA (ENSZALG00000005018.1)". The record is from RNAcentral. Lineage: Eukaryota; Metazoa; Chordata; Aves; Passeriformes; Passerellidae.
UCCUGAAAAUUCUCAAAAAAAAUCCCAAAAAAAUCCUAAAAAUUCUCCUAAAAAUCACCAAAGAAUCCCCCAAAAAAUCCCAAAAAAUCCCAUUAAAAAUCCCAAAAAAAUCCCCAAAAACAUUCCCAAAAAAUCCUAAAUAUUCUCCUAAAAUUCUCCUAAAAAUCCCCAAAUAAUCCCCCAAAAAUUCUGAAAUAGAUCCCAUAAAAAUUCCCCUAAAAAUCACCCAAAAUUCCCAAAAAAAUCCCAAAUCUUUGGGAUUUUUUGGGGAUUUUUUGGGAUUUUUUGGGGAUUUUUUGGGGAUUUUUUGGGGAUUUUUUUUUUGGGAUUUUUUGGGAUUUUUUGGGGAAUUUUUUUGGGAUUUUUUUGGGAUUUUUUAGGGAUUUUUUGGGAUUUUUUUGGGAUUUUUGGAGGAUUU